This 337-nucleotide long non-coding RNA is filed under the name Coccomyxa subellipsoidea. RNAcentral's name for it is "long non-coding RNA (CSUB_LNC000455)". The record is from RNAcentral. Lineage: Eukaryota; Viridiplantae; Chlorophyta; Trebouxiophyceae; Coccomyxaceae.
AAGUUGGGAAGAACGCAACCAAUAUUCUGAAUACAAUUACCACGUGAAUUGGUAUCUCACGUGAUCGGACUUGCUGCCUCGCUCUAUAUUCUCAUCAUCAAUGUUUGUGAGGGCUGUUUCUCCUUAGACAGACAUCGCUCUCUGUAUAGUUGUUGCAAGGAAAAUCGGGUAAAGUAUCAAACAUAAUUGUUUCUUGGAUGUGAUUUGUCCUUCAGUGUGCGGAUCAGCACCUCUGGCCACUGGACUGUUGAGAGAGUUUCUACAGAUCACAUGGAAACCGGUGCAUUGAAACACACCUCACAUCAAGGAGAGCAAGAAGAGCAUUAUUCCCAAGACA